GGGGCUGCACUGGUUUCGACGGGGGUGCGGAAUCGACGUGGUGCAUGUCGAGCUGAAUGUGCUCGUAAAACUGAUUCAAAAAAACUAACUGCAAACGACGAACGUUUCGCACUCGCUGCUUAAUAACCAGUGAGCCUUACAACGGCAGGCCGAUGGGCCGGGCAAGGGUGGCGCAAGCUGUCCAGGCUGUAAGGUCAUUUACAUCGGCUGGCCUGACACCGGGUACCUUGGUGGCAGGCGAGAAAACAGGGUACUGGCGGCGUUUGUAGCGUGCGACUGCGCGACACACGUGGCGAGAUCCAAAUCAGACCGCUAAACAUGUAGAUCUGCUCGAAGAUGGCUUUCGGACGGGGGUUCAAAUCCCCCCAGCUCCACCA
This 377-nucleotide transfer-messenger RNA is filed under the name Curvibacter sp. APW13. It matches the Rfam family "transfer-messenger RNA". Rfam says of the family: Bacterial tmRNA, also known as 10Sa RNA or SsrA, is named for its dual tRNA and mRNA-like properties. Its role is to liberate the mRNA from a stalled ribosome. Lineage: Bacteria; Pseudomonadati; Pseudomonadota; Betaproteobacteria; Burkholderiales; Comamonadaceae. The record is from RNAcentral.